CUACGGGAUGCACCAGUUAGGAAUAAUCUACAAUGCACGAAAGUGUGAUAGUUUGAGUCAAAGUGCAUUUCAAUUUGAAAUGCUUUUAUGGAAUGUAAAAAGUUCCACGAAUAAGGACUGGGUAAGACAGGUGCCAGCCGCCGCGGUAAUACCUGCGGUCCAAGUCGCAGCCAUUUUUAUUGGGUCUAAAACAUCCGUAGCUUGCUUGAUAAGUUUCUUGUGAAAUUCUAUAUCUUAAAUAUAGAGCGUGCAGGAGGUACUGUCAAGCUAGAGACUGGGAGACGUAAGAAGUACGUUCGAAGUAGCGGUAAAAUGAGUUAAUCUCGAGCGGACUCACAAUAGCGAAGGCAUCUUACGAGAACAGUUCUGACAGUAAGGGAUGAAGGCUAGGGGAGCAAAACGGAUUAGAUACCCCUGUAGUC
This 422-nucleotide ribosomal RNA is filed under the name uncultured archaeon. RNAcentral's name for it is "partial 16S ribosomal RNA". It matches the Rfam family "Archaeal small subunit ribosomal RNA", at positions 323 to 746 of the family's 1478-position model. The record is from RNAcentral.